AAUGAUAAAAAUCCUACAAAUGGGGGCUCGUCCGGGAUUCCCCUAGUGCGGUUAUCCCGGGAAAAGUGAAAUGCGGAAAACUGUGGAAAACGAUAAAUACAAGUGGUGUGAGAGAUAGCGAGUGCAGCAUAUAAUCAAAAAGAAUUGCGAAAAAAAACUGUGAAACAUAGCACAAACUAUACAAUAAAUCGGAAAAGUGGUGGUACAUAAAGACCACGAAGGUACUGUACCUGUACCUACAGUCCAAGGAGCGUUAGAGCGUUAGGCGAUUCCGUUAGAACGCCAAUGACUAACGGCUCGCUCACGGAAAUAGCAGUACUGCUACUUGGUGAAACAUUUGCACCAAUAAGAAGACGGCAUCGGCAACAGUGUGAAAUCGAAACACACGAAGCAAGCGGUAGCGGUAUAUAAGUAUAUACAGCGGGGCACAUAAGCAGACAACGGCAGCGACGAGUAUAUAAGUACGCAGCAAACACCAAGCGCAUCAGCAGACACGAGAUCAGAGAUAUACAACGGUGGUUCAGCGGCAGCGGCGUCGGCAUUCACGGCAACAGAGUUCAACGGAUGUUGAAUGCGACGCAGAGUAGCAGGCAUAGCAGAGGGUGAACGGCGGGAGCAGAACAACUAAGAUAAGAUUUUUGAAUAUUGUAGUAGUUAGAAGUAUACGUACACAUACAUACAUAUAUCGAUAUAUUCAGUGAAGUAUUUAGAAGUAGUACAGCAUUAACUGUAUCAUUUAAACGCUAUUGUAUUCUUACAGCAUUUUGUAUUUAACAUAUGUAUGUAUGUGUGCAUUGUAGUAAUACCCCAGCAGAUUUAAAAGCGAGAUCUCCUGAAAGGAGGAAUGAAGGAGUCCUCCUAUUGACCUCUUUUAGGAGCAGUAAGGGAGAUUUUUUAAUUUUGUUCUUAUAUUGUGUUUUUUUUUUAUAUUUUAUUUUAGUGUUGACCUCCUUUUGUCAUCUUUUAGGAGCAAAAAAGGAGAUUUUAUACUUCUAUUGUGAUUUUUUUUACUUCAUUUUAGUAUUGAUCUCCUUUUGUCCUCCUUUAGGAGCAAUAAAGGAGAUUUUUUAAUUUUUCGUAGCUUAAAAAUCGUACUUUUGAUUCAAAAAUUACAAUUUAACGGGAAAUAAUAACUGUUAUUUUUUGUCUUCAAGCGAUUGUUCAUUUCAACUGUGUUUUUUAAAGCGUGCAGACAUAAAUAAAAUGACGUCACAAAAUAAUUUUUUAUUCAAUUCUCUCGAAUGCGGAAGUUCUUCAAUUUUAAGUGGAGAAAAUAUCAAUGUGUCCACCAUUACUUCCCGAAACACCUCCUCCUGGCAGAAAAACAUGGAACAAAGAAUACGGAAGCUAGAGGAAAUAUCGGCGCAGAACACUAUACUCCUGGAGCGGAUUAUUGACAUAUUGCAACCGAAGAAGAUUGAUUUAAUGAUAUUUCCUAUUAAAAGCAUAAAUGAUUUAGCAUCUACAGAGUCCUUGCUUUUGAAUAAGCCUGAGGCAGAAAUUGUGGCGUAUCUGAAGCAAAA
Long non-coding RNA from Bactrocera neohumeralis, 1523 nucleotides. RefSeq lists it as uncharacterized. Lineage: Eukaryota; Metazoa; Arthropoda; Insecta; Diptera; Tephritidae. The transcript is spliced from 4 exons. The record is from RefSeq and is a predicted model, not a curated record.